CCCCUCCAAUUGCCCCUCCAAUUCCCCCUCCUAUCAGCAUGUCAGCAAUCAUGCGCGUUAUCGACACCCGUCGAGUCCUUACAGUAUCUCCCGGUUCUCCCAGUGCUAAAGUUUUAUGCUCGAAUACUCUCUCAUCUUUGUCUCGAUAAGGACAAAAUCUAGCCUGCAAAGUUCUACCACAUAGGCUCUGAUAUAAGAAACAUGUAAUCAAGUAUUUCAUGGGCCACUGUCAAGAAUACUUUGCCGUUUAAGGGAGGAGCGGUCGUGGAGGGAUUUUCGAGCGGGUAACUCGUUCCCUCGCAAACUCCAAAAUCGUUAAUGCGGUAUGGAAGGUAACGAGGCGAGCCGAAGGAAAACCUGAUCGAGCGUACAACGGCCAUCAAGAGAGCUAAACGUACAACCAUGGAAGAAAGACUGCGUUUAUGUAUACAUGCAUACAAUAUAUAUAUAUAUAUAUAUAUUUGUAUAUUAUGUUAUCUAUGUAUAUGUGAUUUAAUGUAUUAUGUAUGAGAGAGAGUGAGAGAGAGUAGCAUGCAAGAGCAAAAGUAAUAAAACGAGUUCAAACACAACU
This is a long non-coding RNA of Polistes canadensis, 571 nucleotides long. RefSeq lists it as uncharacterized. NCBI's taxonomy places the organism in Eukaryota, Metazoa, Arthropoda, Insecta, Hymenoptera, Vespidae. The transcript is spliced from 2 exons. The record is from RefSeq and is a predicted model, not a curated record.